This 465-nucleotide ribosomal RNA is filed under the name bacterium Chibwantu07. RNAcentral's name for it is "bacterial SSU rRNA". It matches the Rfam family "Bacterial small subunit ribosomal RNA", at positions 215 to 697 of the family's 1533-position model. The record is from RNAcentral.
UCGCCUGUGGAGGAACCUGCGUUCGAUUAGCUAGUUGGUGGGGUAAAGGCCUACCAAGGCGAUGAUCGAUAGCUGGUUUGAGAGGAUGAUCAGCCACACUGGGACUGAGACACGGCCCAGACUCCUACGGGAGGCAGCAGUGGGGAAUAUUGGACAAUGGGCGAAAGCCUGAUCCAGCAAUGCCGCGUGUGUGAAGAAGGUCUUCGGAUUGUAAAGCACUUUCGACGGGGACGAUGAUGACGGUACCCGUAGAAGAAGCCCCGGCUAACUUCGUGCCAGCAGCCGCGGUAAUACGAAGGGGGCUAGCGUUGCUCGGAAUGACUGGGCGUAAAGGGCGCGUAGGCGGUUGUUACAGUCAGAUGUGAAAUCCCCGGGCUUAACCUGGGAACUGCAUUUGAUACGUGACGACUAGAGUUCGAGAGAGGGUUGUGGAAUUCCCAGUGUAGAGGUGAAAUUCGUAGAUAU